Molecule: ribosomal RNA, 468 nt
Filed under: uncultured bacterium
Lineage: Bacteria
Description: partial 16S ribosomal RNA
Rfam family: Bacterial small subunit ribosomal RNA
Source: RNAcentral
GACGAACGCUGGCGGCGUGCUUAACACAUGCAAGUCGAACGGAAAGGCCCUGCUUUUGUGGGGUGCUCGAGUGGCGAACGGGUGAGUAACACGUGAGUAACCUGCCCUUGACUUUGGGAUAACUUCAGGAAACUGGGGCUAAUACCGGAUAGGAGCUCCUGCUGCAUGGUGGGGGUUGGAAAGUUUCGGCGGUUGGGGAUGGACUCGCGGCUUAUCAGCUUGUUGGUGGGGUAGUGGCUUACCAAGGCUUUGGCGGGUAGCCGGCCUGAGAGGGUGACCGGCCACAUUGGGACUGAGAUACGGCCCAGACUCCUACGGGGGACAGCAGUGGGGAAUAGUGCACAAUGGGCGGAAGCCUGAUGCAGCAACGCCGCGUGCGGGAUGACGGCCUUCGGGUUAUAAACCGCUUUCGCCUGUGACGAAGCGUGAGUGACGGUAAUGGGUGAAGAAGCACCGGCUAACUACGUG